Podarcis lilfordi (Lilford's wall lizard) is the source of this 73-nucleotide non-coding RNA. NCBI's taxonomy places the organism in Eukaryota, Metazoa, Chordata, Lepidosauria, Squamata, Lacertidae. The record is from the annotation of a GenBank genome assembly.
GAAGGGCUGUAGCUUAGUGGUAGAACACCUGCUUUGCAUGCAGAAGACCCAGUUUCAAUCCUUGGCAUCUUCU